This 76-nucleotide transfer RNA is filed under the name Tenacibaculum sp. MAR_2010_89. RNAcentral's name for it is "tRNA_Arg_ACG". It matches the Rfam family "tRNA". From Rfam's summary of the family: Transfer RNA (tRNA) molecules are approximately 80 nucleotides in length. Their secondary structure includes four short double-helical elements and three loops (D, anti-codon, and T loops). Further hydrogen bonds mediate the characteristic L-shaped molecular structure. tRNAs have two regions of fundamental functional importance: the anti-codon, which is responsible for specific mRNA codon recognition, and the 3' end, to which the tRNAs corresponding amino acid is attached (by aminoacyl-tRNA synthetases). tRNAs cope with the degeneracy of the genetic code in two manners: having more than one tRNA (with a specific anti-codon) for a particular amino acid; and 'wobble' base-pairing, i.e. permitting non-standard base-pairing at the 3rd anti-codon position. The record is from RNAcentral. Lineage: Bacteria; Pseudomonadati; Bacteroidota; Flavobacteriia; Flavobacteriales; Flavobacteriaceae.
AGGGGUAUAGUUUAAUUGGAUAAAAUUUUAGAGUACGAUUCUAAAGAUGCAAGUUCGAAUCUUGCUAUUCCUACAA